Long non-coding RNA from Gordionus sp. m RMFG-2023, 1118 nucleotides. RefSeq lists it as uncharacterized. NCBI's taxonomy places the organism in Eukaryota, Metazoa, Nematomorpha, Gordioida, Chordodea, Parachordodidae. The transcript is spliced from 3 exons. The record is from RefSeq and is a predicted model, not a curated record.
UUUAAUAUUAUUAAUAAAAUUACAUCUAUUACUCAUGAUAACGCUUCCAAUAUUUUAUUGGCAUCCGAAUACAUGAAAAAAUAUUAUAUGAAAAAUUAUAGUAAAGAAUUUUACAGCCAUAGAUGUUUGGCACAUAUUUUGAAUAUAGUAGUGAAAGAGGGAUUAGAUUCAUUCUCUUCCCUAUUAGAAAAUGUAGACCGAUUUGUCAGGAAAAUACAUAGAAGUCCUAAAAUGAUGCAAGAAUUCCUAACCUUAAGUGGUGGCACGAAAAUACCAAUAGAUGUGGCUACCAGAUGGAACAGUAAAUAUUUAAUGAUACGUUCAAUCAAUCAGAAUAUUGAUGCGGUCUUUAAAUUUUGCAAAAAAUUUGAUGAUGAGUACCACAUUAACAAUGAGGAUAGUAUUUUUCUCAAGGAACUCGAAUCAUUUUUAUAUCCAUUUUAUAAGAUAACAAACGAAAUAAGCUCCGAAACAAUAACCACGGUAGGCUUAUCUGUAUUAUACAUUAUUACAAUAAUGACGUCACUGGAACGCACAGAGAUAUCAAAUGCAAGCACUCAAAUAAAAAAAGCGGCUUCUAAAAUGAAAGAAAAAUGCAAAAUAUAUUCAGAACAUAUGGCAACUUUUGCAAAUUAUGUCUGUGCAUUCCUAGAUCCUCGAAUAAAAAAAAAUAUAUACCAACUUUUCUUAAUAAAGCUACAUAUUUGGAUCAUUUCAAAAUUUUAUAUAACCAAUAUAAUCCGAAAAAUUUAAAUGUUUAUGAUAUCGAUAACGAGCUUAAUCCAUCAAAUCUUAUGUCGGCAACGAUAUUUAAUGACCUUAGAAAGGAAGCAUAUUAAUAUCCAGAUCCAGCGAGAGAGGAGAUGGAAGAUUAUAUUGGAGAGGUUGUUGCUAAACCUACAAUCCAUGUUUUGGAUUGGUGGAGUUCGAACAGCACAAGAUUUCCCAAAUUAGCAAUGAUGGCUAGAGAUUUCUUUUCCCAUCAAUCAACAUCUGUACCUAGUGAAAGAACCUUUUCACGUGCGGUUGACACAUUGACAAAGAAAAGAAAUCGAAUUUCUUCUACAAAAUUAAAUGAAUGUUUGUCAUUAAAAUCAUGGAAAUUUAAUUUUUUAACU